Non-coding RNA from Acanthosepion pharaonis, 115 nucleotides. Lineage: Eukaryota; Metazoa; Mollusca; Cephalopoda; Sepiida; Sepiidae. The record is from the annotation of a GenBank genome assembly.
UAUGGCCACAUCACAUUGAAAACACCGGUUCCUGUAUGCUCACUAAAGUUAAGCAAUGUUGAACCUGGUCGGUACCUAGAUGGGCUGACUGCUUUGGAAUACCAGGUGCUGUAAG